Molecule: ribosomal RNA, 499 nt
Filed under: Dialister invisus
Lineage: Bacteria; Bacillati; Bacillota; Negativicutes; Veillonellales; Veillonellaceae
Description: bacterial SSU rRNA
Rfam family: Bacterial small subunit ribosomal RNA
Source: RNAcentral
GACGAACGCUGGCGGCGUGCUUAACACAUGCAAGUCGAACGCAAGGACGGGAAGAGCUUGCUCUUUUCAGAAUUGAGUGGCAAACGGGUGAGUAACACGUAAACAACCUGCCUUCAGGAUGGGGACAACAGACGGAAACGACUGCUAAUACCGAAUAAGUUCCAAGAGCCGCAUGGCCCAUGGAAGAAAAGGUGGCCUCUACCUGUAAGCUAUCGCCUGAAGAGGGGUUUGCGUCUGAUUAGCUGGUUGGAGGGGUAACGGCCCACCAAGGCGACGAUCAGUAGCCGGUCUGAGAGGAUGAACGGCCACACUGGAACUGAGACACGGUCCAGACUCCUACGGGAGGCAGCAGUGGGGAAUCUUCCGCAAUGGGCGAAAGCCUGACGGAGCAACGCCGCGUGAGUGAUGACGGCCUUCGGGUUGUAAAACUCUGUGAUCCGGGACGAAAAGGCAGAGUGCGAAGAACAAACUGCAUGGACGUACCGGAAAAGCAGCCCCG